ACACGUUUCAUACAUGUAGCAGUCAGAGAAAUGUUCUCUCCAUUUGUUCUUGUUUUCCCUCAGCUGUUCCGAAGAGGCUGAACAUGUUGAAAGGGAUCUUUAGUGACUGAUUACUUUGCCGUGUACACCCCUAGACGUGUUGUUUUUGAGAAUGUUGUGGACAUUAUCAAAGUGACUGAAGUGUAGCAGAGUGAAAAAAAAUCAUAAAAAUACAAAUUCUUUACAAGAUCUGGCAAAGAGGAACACUUGCAAUGGUGCAGUGCCUGAGAGAGCUCAGGAAAAUGCCUGCCAAAGAGGACAAAACACAAGCAAAUGAAGAGAACAUCACCACCACUUAAACAACACAUAUGUCACAUAAAUAAAAUGCUGCAAAUAGAUAAGACACAAGCAAAUUGCAACAUAUGUGGCAUUAAGAAAAACAAGCAAAUAAAGAAACAAUUCAAGUGUAAGUUAUACCUUACAGUAUAAUGUAAUCCAAUACAAUGACCCUGGAAUAGAAUGUACCAUUGUGAAGCUUAUAGUGUUCACUUUUUCUGUGACGCUCUGUUCAGCAUUUAGUUGAUACAACUCUAUGGUCUAUUUUUCAGUCUAAAAUUUAAUUGCAUACUUAAGGUUUAUUUCACAGGGACGACACCAAAUGAUGCAAAUGAGCCAGUUACUCUAGAAGGAGAUUUUUCCUCUGUAGUCCCUGAGGUCCUUAAGGUGUGAGAUGAUAAAAGGCACCCUACAAAUCAAAUCAAAAUACAGCACACAUAACAGAAUACAGACAGAAAUGAGUGAUGUUAUAACCCUAGACAAUAUAAAUGAAAAUAAAAAAACACACAAAACAACAGACAAAUAUGUACAUUAAUGCAUUGAAAGGCAUUCUUACACAUGCACGGCUUCAUGCCCGCAGUUUUAAUUAAACCAGGUCAGAGAAAAGCGCAUUGAAGCUGGCUUCUUGAGCAGUGACUCUCUCCCAGCUGUGAGUUCUGGCCACCUCUGUCUAAUGCCUGAUGGAAAGUUGGUGGGUGCACACCCAGUGAGAGAGUAAGACACUGAUAGAGCCCACCAAUUACUGCAGCAGCCUUUGAUAUCCUUCUACAAAGACUGCUGGGUUGAUAACUGUCAGAAAAUGAGCUCAGUGUGUUCAAGAGAAAAUGGUUGUAGAUACCUUUUUGUGAGUUAUUUGUGAACGCUAAUCAAUUAAUAUGUAUUACAUUUGAAAUCUCAGGACCUGGAUAGGCAUUGAAUAUUCAGCUCCAGUGAAGAAGAUAUAUUUCUUUGUCUUUUAACUCUGUGUGUUAUUGCAUGUGUCAGCUGUGGCGGGUGGGUUUGGUUUGCUACAUCUGUUCUGCUGCGCUUUGGUGCGGAUGGAUACACGCACAUAAACACACAUAUUUGCAUGCUCUCAGACAACAUGCUCAUGGCCAUGCUCUCAGAGCAGCUCUGGUAAGGCAGAAAUGUGGGUGGAAAAUACACACACACACACAAAUUAAUAUCAUUAUCUCUUAUUCAUUAUUCUUCUUGUCUGUAUCUUUCUGUAACUGUUAUCACUUUCUCUGUGCUCAGGCAGGCUCUGCUGCUCUUUCAAGGGGGCUAGAUGAGAGUCCCUGAUAGAUGUUAUUAAAAGCCGAUGUACUUCAGCUUCAGAAGAUGUCUGAAAUCAGCACUUUCACACCCAGUUUCUCUGUGCACUGUUUACUUCCAUUUAUGUGAACUCUGAUCAUACAUACAGAUGUACUAUCAUAGUAUGCACUUAACAACACACACUUAAAGCUUGAGUGCAGUGCUGUUACAUGUAAACGAACGUCCGUUACAUUCAAGCCCUUGUCAAACGAGCUCACACAAUGCUGAUUAAGCCUAUCACCGCCAGAUAAAUCUCUGUAUUUUGCAGUUUACAGAGUUUUUAAAUCUGGCGUCUGUGGUGGCAUUCCUGUGCUGGCGCACCGGCACCCAUAGAGCAUGCGCACCAGAGACUUCCGCCGGCCGAGCUGGCCAACCUCCAGUUUAGCCCUUGCGAACUUGAGGGAUAAAAUAAUUAAAUUGUGCGACUUUUCAAAAGGAUCAAAUUCAUUGUGACGCUCAAAACAAUUUAUCCACUGUUUUACAGCCGCAACAGUGGCGACGGCAACCAGCUCAUGCAUGGACUCAUAGAACUGGAGUUACAUCCAGUAUUUACUCUCACUGCCAGAGGGGGGAGACACAAGUUCCGUACUGCAGGUUUAACACGUCAACAUUUUUUGACUGAAAAUUUAACUUGGUAUUGACGUGUGCACCCAGAAUCCUCUUGGAUGCUUUAUUUUAACCAUAUGGUCAAUAAAUUCCCUGUAACCAAUCCCCUUUUUCUGGGUUGUGUACCUGAGUUCAGAUUUAGCCAAUUACUUAAUGGAUUUCACUGCUGCCACAUCAGCUUUGCACAUCUGGACAGAGCGGCUUGGCUGUAAUCUUUGGCACAGUGGACACACAGUUGCAUUUCAGAUUGAUAUGACGCACUUGAUCUGACCAUGUACAUUUGAUUAUUAGAUAUUUUAGAUACCCUUGAUCUUUGAUCUUGAGCUGAAAGUAGGUCAUCCAGCACACAAGCCUCUUAUGAUGGAGGUUGGAUUCCAUUUAGAAAAUGACAGAAACUGAAUUGAAACUGAAAGAUAAAAACUUUUUACUGGCUCAAAAGUAAAAUUUUAAGUAAAGAAUAAAACUUGGAUCAAGAAUAUAUGAAACUGAUACUGUGGUGACUGUCAGACUUGCAAUAACAGAAUGAAUAUUUUUGGUCAUGGUAUGUUUGGAUUUAUCUUGGUAGGAAGGGUUAGUUCCUCAUUAUUAAACCAAUUGAAUUAAAAGCCAAAUCUAACUUGCAAAGAUACAAUGACGUGCAUAAUGUCAUUACAAGAGAGCAAGACUGUAAUUCUUACCCCACUGCAAUGGCAAAAUGCACAGUCAGAAUCCAUCCAACAUCGUGAUUCAUAAUGAGGAGACAGAAAGCAGAGGUGACAUGAGCAAACUUAUUUUCAUCAUCCAGGGACCUUUUUAAAUAAUGCACAUAUGAUAUAAAAGGAUUGAAAUAUAAAACUAUAAUCCCAUGCUAAAAUUUCAUAUUCUGCAUUCAACAUUUUACAUUGUUUAGCAAUGUCAUUUGUAGUGUUUUGUACAUAUCAGAUAUGUCUGCUUAUUCUGCAUCAUUAUAUUUUACAGGAACAGAAGGAUCCCAGUAUGAUUACACUGUUCCUCUUACGAUGUUCAGAAUACUAAGAUGCUAAUUGUUAAUAGCAUCUUGGUAUUGUUGUCAUGCACAGUGCUAAAUAACAGGAUCGAGUCUAGCAUGUGAAAUGCUCUGGAUGAGCAGACAAUACACAAGUAUCAACACAUGCUAAAUUCACUGAGAACCACCUCUUCAACCAGAAAGGAGGAACCGAGCAGGGAAAUGUGGAACCUGGUGUGACCUGAGGUUGCACCGAAAACAUGACCAUGUGGCCGCCUACUCUUGUUUCAUAGGAAUAAGAAUUCCACAUCUUUUAUUCAUUAAACAACAGGAAGCCUUACUUUGUGUGGGGGAAAAAAAAAAAAUCAUGAUUCCACAGUGCACAUUUCACCAUCAUUAGAAGGAGGUGUUGAUGCUCAUGUCUUCCUUUUUGUAAUGACUCCUGAACUUUGAUGUCAAGCUUUCAUUCUCAUCUUCAUCACCUUGUGCCAAACAAUUCUCCCUCCCACAUCUCUCUCCCUGUUUCGACACAGCAAUCUUGCGUCUGGGAUUUAGUACAAUAUUUAUCUUUAGGGCAGAGUCAAGUUUCGAGUAGGAUGAAGAAACAAGCAGAGAAAAACUCUGUGUGUAGAGAAAAGGCUUGAUGUUACUAAGAUACCAUUAUGAGGCUGCAUGAUUGUAAGUGUGUUUGAAUUAUUUGUGUUUAGAAUGUGCUUGAUAUGCAGGGAGAGAACUUUAAAAGCCUAUUUUAUAUUUCCGUAUGUCCUAGUAAUUAUGCAGGUAGUUCUGUUUUUAUUUAGACCAGGGUGUAAUUACAAGGAUGUCUGUGUGUUUGUGUGGGUGCGCACGUGUGUGUGCGCGCUGGCACCAGCUUGCCGACCCACUGUCUCCGUCUGCGGUUAACUGAGCUCUCUUCAGCGAAUAUCGUCUCCACCCUAUUUCCUCUUCCUCCUCCACCAGUACAGCCUUUGUCAAGGUUUUUUUGUUUUUCCAUCAUCGCUUGUCGUUCUGUUCCAGUCAUCCCAUUUACUUUCAUUUUAGUCAAGCACACACUCAUUUCCUCUUCUGUUUAUUUAUUCCUCUCUCUCAUUUAUCCUGCCUCUCUUUCCUCAUCUGUCCAUCCCUUCCUCGCUAAUCUCUUCCCCUGCCCUAUCCAGUGAUAAUAAUCCCUGCUUAAUGUAAUUGGACUCUGUAAUCUUUGGUUAGAAACAAUCAGCCUAAUAGACAGCCUGGCUGGCUCUUUGUCCACACUAGUCGUCCAUCUACUGACAUCCAGUCCCCCACUGUAGCCAAUUAAAUCUAGAUUGUCCCAAACUUCCCACAGCCAACUGAUUUGCCGAGGGCAGAGCUGAAUAGAGUACGAAUGAGCAUACUAUCUCACUCGUUUCUGCAGUCCCAUGUGCUGUGUGGUUGAAUAUAUUAUUAUGUAAGUGAAUAAUAAAGUGUGAUAAUUCAGAGA
Long non-coding RNA from Thunnus maccoyii (southern bluefin tuna), 4637 nucleotides. RefSeq lists it as uncharacterized. The record is from RefSeq and is a predicted model, not a curated record. The transcript is spliced from 2 exons. Lineage: Eukaryota; Metazoa; Chordata; Actinopteri; Scombriformes; Scombridae.